RNAcentral lists this ribosomal RNA (496 nucleotides) under uncultured bacterium. RNAcentral describes it as "partial 16S ribosomal RNA". It matches the Rfam family "Bacterial small subunit ribosomal RNA", at positions 28 to 507 of the family's 1533-position model. The record is from RNAcentral.
GACGAACGCUGGCGGCGUGCCUAAUACAUGCAAGUUGAGCGCUGAAGGUUGGUACUUGUACCAACUGGAUGAGCAGCGAACGGGUGAGUAACGCGUGGGGAAUCUGCCUUUGAGCGGGGACAACAUUUGGAAACGAAUGCUAAUACCGCAUAAAAACUUUAAAAACAAGUUUUAAGGUUGAAAGAUGCAAUUGCAUCACCCAAAGAUGAACCCGCGUUGUAUUAGCUAGUUGGUGAGGUAAAGGCUCACCAAGGCGAUGAUACAUAGCCGACCUGAGAGGGUGAUCGGCCACAUUGGGACUGAGACACGGCCCAAACUCCUACGGGAGGCAGCAGUAGGGAAUCUUCGGCAAUGGACGAAAGUCUGACCGAGCAACGCCGCGUGAGUGAAGAAGGUUUUCGGAUCGUAAAACUCUGUUGGUAGAGAAGAACGUUGGUGAGAGUGGAAAGCUCAUCAAGUGACGGUAACUACCCAGAAAGGGACGGCUAACUACGUG